This 659-nucleotide long non-coding RNA is filed under the name Zostera marina. Its description in RNAcentral is "long non-coding RNA (ZMAR_LNC005564)". Lineage: Eukaryota; Viridiplantae; Streptophyta; Magnoliopsida; Alismatales; Zosteraceae. The record is from RNAcentral.
AGCACUUGGGCACGCACAGGUGGUGGGGUCAUCAAGGGAAUGGUGGGGCUAAGUAGUGUGUGGCAUCCCCAACCAUGUGUGAUGGUGCUGGUAAUCACCGGCGAUCACCGGUUUGCAAAAUAGUAAAUGCAGCUAAUUUCACAAAACGACUAAUCAUAUUAUUUAUGUUGUUUAUAAUUAUGUGUUUGAACAAAAGCAGAUCUUAAUAUUUGAUGCAGGCAGGAUCUCCGCAGUUGAUCACGAACGGGUUUUUAUUGUGCUAAACGAUCCAUAUUACAAUUUUAAGAAUACAAAAAAUGAUGCGAUAUUAAAAUUACUUUUAAGACCGCAUAAUAAAAUGCAACAACUGACGUUUGAAAAUGAAAGUUUCGUGAUCUGGAUAAAAAUCGAUCCCCUUUGUCAUUGCCGGUAAAAUUGAGGCAGUUGUGGACAGGAUAACUCUUUUCAACUCAGGCGGCUCGAAAACUUUUGAAAAGAAGAAGAAAAAAAAGGUAUAACCGUACAUGUAUACAAGAGAAAAAAUUCUAAGGUAACUAUUAGUUUCCCUGAUAGGAUCGGCGGCGGUCUGACAUUUGGAGAGGAUGCCGGACUAUCAUAAAAAUAGGUUACCGGAGGAGCUGCAAUCGGGAACGAUUUGGGGUGGGGGGGUAUAUAUUUCC